Molecule: non-coding RNA, 72 nt
Organism: Planctomycetes bacterium GWF2_42_9
Lineage: Bacteria; Pseudomonadati; Planctomycetota
Source: Rfam
UACCCGGUGGUGUAAUCGGUAACACAGAGGUUUUUGGUACCUCCAUUCAUGGUUCGACUCCAUGCCGGGUAG